Oreochromis niloticus (Nile tilapia) is the source of this 9604-nucleotide long non-coding RNA. RefSeq lists it as uncharacterized. The record is from RefSeq and is a predicted model, not a curated record. The transcript has 6 exons. Lineage: Eukaryota; Metazoa; Chordata; Actinopteri; Cichliformes; Cichlidae.
AACUAACUGCAAAGGAGCUGAAAACGAAAGAAUAAACAGAAGCAAAUGACGCAAAGAACAGGAGAUGAACUGAAGAGAAUACCAACAGAUAUUAGACCAGAGUGAGUAAAUGAAGUCAGAGAGGCUGGAAUAAUGGCCCACAGAGCACUAUAACUAAACACACACCCGUCGUAAUCUCACUGAAAACACUUAACGCAGCCACGGACUGAAUCCAGCUGUCACGCUGUAAUUACCACCUGCUGUGCAGCGACACGUGAUCGGUGAUCUGCGUGAAACAAUACAGGUUACAUUUGAAACAUGCACAGAACGAUGAAGUGUCACGUCGCCCUGCAGCCAGCAGGUGUCGCGGUACACUAACGCGUUGCGGGUCGGGGAGGUAACGGGAGAGGUGUGAUGAACCUGGGAUGUAUAUAGCCUCCCGCACAGCAUCGAUAAAAGGGGAACACCUUGAGAGAGGCGCAGACGAGCCGCCGCGGAGCCGCCGGACACCGCAGCUGAGCGCGGGGGCCUCUGUUGCGCAUGUGGACGGGCGAGCCAACGCACCGCAGGAAUGUGUGCAGAUCAGAGGCAAACGCACAUGCUCGGGCUUUUACUAUGUAUGUGGUGCUCGAUCAUUUUCAAGUCCUCGGGCAAUAUAGUAGAGACUACGGGGUCACUUUGCUGUGCCGCUGUCGGAAACCUAUAAUUGGAAACGAGCCAGUGACGCGCUGAAAAUAACCAGGUUAGCACUUAGUACCGGUCCAUUUUGGGGAGGGCCCAACACGAGGGCGCAGCACCAUAUAUCAGCUCUUUCCAGCUGUUUGGGAAUAUCCUGCUCUAGAAAAGCUGCAGCACGGCGGCAGCAGCAGCGGCGCAAGCAGGGUGCUUUUUCUCCCGCCCCCCCCUUCCAGAAUGGAUAUUGGGUGAGUGACUGGGUGCGCACGGGGGGAUCUCUUGUUGGGAAACGCAGAAGCUCUCUCUCCCUCUCUCUUUUUUUUCUUGAAGGGAGGGAGGGCGGGAGGGGAGGUGGGAGACUGGCACAAGGCUCGACACUGUUGCGUCUGCAUGUUUUUUCUCCUUGGACAGACAGGAAAAAAGAUGGACCAGGGGGACUGUCCGACUUAUUCCACAAGAGAGUUCCCGGCCCCCACCCCCCCAAAAGGAUAAUCUUGCUCAAUUUGGGAUGCGUGCAACACCAAGUGAUCACAUAUUACUUGGGCGGCGGUGGUGCUGGUGGUGGAUGGACGGUGAAGUUCAACUUCGCAUGCAGACGCGAUCUCCUCCAGGCAGCCAGACAAACCCACCAGACAGUCGGCGCGUAUUACGUGAAGAGGUCUCCAUAUGGGCUACGGGAUGCGAACACCUGCCCGGUACGCAGGUAACUACAAUCCGACGGUGUCGCCUACUUCUUCGAACACCGACAGGCAGCAGAUCAGCAGGAAGUGAAGAAGCAUUUGAACCAGAAAACGGCACAGUCUCUCUGAACCUAUUGUGGAGCUAACAUGGCUGCCAGCAAUAAGACAUGAUGACAUUAUCCUGCUUUCUUGCUGGAGGCCUCCCAGUAAGGAGUUCUUGUGAACACAUCUUCCGAGUGACAUGGAGACGGGCCUGCAGCCACCAGCGGAGCUGAGCCGAGCCGCUUUAGAGCCCUGCUGAGACCUGCCAGGCCCACAGCUUUCCCUGCCAGGGGCCUCGCUCGAAGUCAAAGUGAGUUACAACCCAUGCUCUUGACACACACAUGCUAAUGCAGAAGCAAGCACCCAGUAAGUAGGCAUGCAGGCGCACGCACAGGUGAAAUACAUAGAGGAAUAUAUGUGUGCAACCAUAAACCAGUACAGAGGCAAAGAAAUAACACUGUUCGUGCAAAUAUAUGCACACUCAUACAUAAUGAUACCCCUCUAAAAGAGAUUGUAGCUCCACUGGACCACUAGAUAGACUACAUUUACAUACAUGCAAUCACACACAAUCAUAGAUUUGGUAUUUGCAGCCUAAAUAAAUGAUAUCCCUGCUUCUACCCAUGCAGUAAAGUGAGCAUGUCGUCCAACAGGGGCUCUAUCUGUCAGGGGUAGUUUGAGAUCAAGGUCCAGCAGCUGCUGGAUCAGCUGGAUUGAUCUGUCUGGGUAAACAUGAGGACUGAAAAUGAGUGUGUUUGUGAUUAAAGGCUUAACAGGAAGUGUGUGUGACAGUGAGAGAGAGAGGGAGCUUCAGUAUGCUGUUUAUACCCUGUACAAAAGAGAGCACUGUGUAUUACCUCCAUGCAUAUGUCAUAUAUAUGUGUGUGUGUUAUAUUGUGCUUAUAUCCAGAUCCAUUUUUAAAAAAAACGUUUGGAUACUGCUGGAGUCAAUUUAUAGCAACAUCAUCCUUAUCUUAUACUGGGCAUUACUGGUGCAGCCCCUUAGUUCAUCCUCCUUUCUUCUGAUUGGCUGCCCCUCGUUAAUAGAAGUCAGUGGGCGGGGGUUCUGUGCUCACAAGCCAGAGCUAUGUACCAUUAACUGGUUGCGACAGAUUGCUGCCCCUCACUGAGCCUGGUUCUGACAGAGGUUUCUUCCUGUUAAAUGGGAGUUUUUUCUUCCCACUGUUGCCAAAUGCUUGUUCAAAGGUUAAUGUUUGAAUAUUGGGAUUUUCUCUGUUUUCUGGCCUUUACUUUACAAUACAUCGUGCUUCGAGCCGACGAAUGUGAUUUGGCAAGUUAAUUUACGCAACUGAAUUGAAUUAAGAAAACCUCUCAAGCCAUUGUAACACAUUUUUGACAGAAAAUCAGGAAACUCAUAUUGGCGCUGGUUAAUGUUUUUCAUCAUGACUCACCUAAAAAGAGACAGUCUUCCAGAAAAUGGUUACCAAAAGUAUUUUCCUAACCAUAAUCACGUAGUUUUGGUGCCUAAGCAUAACAAAACUGCAAGCGAAAUUAAAAAAACAACUUAAAGUUGUGACUCAAGUUGUGACUCAACCUUUUCUGAGUUGUCACCAGAUAUCCAAAAUUAUACUGCGAAUUAGUGGAGGGGGGGCCCCUCUAAACAAAGCGAAAAACAUGGCACAAAUCAGAUAGGUGGAAUGCUCAUGGCCAUUUUUUAGAUACUGAGCAAAUGAAGGAGAAUUUACUUAAAAUGUGGUUGUAGCCACAUUAAUUAUCUUGCAAAGUGCCUUUAGAUACAGAAUAAAUGUGUCAGUCCCUCUGCUCAUUACAGCCAAGCCGUAUCUGAAAAGACCCUAUUAAGCUCUCACAUGAGGGCUGACCAACAGUUUCAUGCUGGCUAUAUAUGAAUGUAUCUCACAGCAAUAAUAUAUAGCGAGUGCAUGCGUAGCUAUAUGGUUUGUGUCUAAUCCCAGGAAUGUUGAUGUGGUCCAGAGUUUAAUAAAUGGAGGCGUGGGUGUGGAGUAAGAGUCCCCUGGAGCAGAGUUAAGGUCUUAAUGUACUAUAAAGCCUUGACCCAGACCAUAUACACCCACUCACAGGGACACAGCACCUUCUCUCCAGUCCAGCACAUUCUUUCAUACUUUGGCUACGCAGCAAAGAAAUAUGCACUUGGACAUACACGGAGAUAUGCAAGCACAACAUGGACGAUAUGACCUUAAACAACAAACAUGCGCAAAAUGUACCGAGUGGCUCAAACACACACAUACACACACACACACACACACACACACACACAGACACAGACACACACACACACACACACACACACACACACACAUCCUUGUUGACUUGUGUUGGUCGUUAUUCAAUGAGGAGCACAUGACUUAAAUCGGGUGUGGUGCAUGACAUCUUAUCGAACAAAAGCGUCCCACAGAGAGAGCUGAUGGGGGAGACGAUCCCUCCCUGCUUGUCCUGUCUGUUGGGAGUCAUGAGGUCUCCAUCUCGUUUGCCACGCUGUGUCUCGUGGUUCAAAGUCCAUAAAAUGUUCAAGUUAAAAAAAAAAUCCCUUGCUUUUAAAACUUUCAGCUGCGGUGGUGUGUUGUCAAUAAAUCAGCUGCUUUCCCCGAGGAUAGCAACGUUAUCUCCGGGAGGGAGAGGAAGUGCAAAACACUGCAUGUUUUUCAAGAAUGAAGCCUUUGAAUUUCUUGUUGUGUCCUAUAAAUGUCUCACCUUGAGGGUCUGAUGUCUCGCAGUGAGAAUGGAGGGCUUGUAUUCUACACAUUCAACACGUCGCUUCUACAUGCUUCUGCAGUCAUGCAGAAAUAAACUCAAGUAUGUUGAUCACAGAAGCUUUAUUGUGUUUUGUCUCAUUAACGAUCUCUUUUAAGUGUCUUGCUGAUAAACUUGUCAUUUAACUGUCAAAAUCAUGACGGCUACCUCCAUGUUAGAUCUUACAGGGAAUAUUUCUUCAUUUAAGAGAUAUGCCAGUUUCUCAAAUGCAUUGUAGCAUCGAACUUUUCUAACAUUAACCAGCGGAGCUGAAUAUUAGAAUGGAAAUAUCCAUAUCAGUUGGACCAGACAGUACCCAGGCAGCCUCCUUGUAGAGAGUAAAGUCCAAAUGAACACAUGUGUGAAAUGUUCAGGUAAUUCACAGAGUGAGUUUCCAUCACGUCCUGCCUCCUGCGCAGUCUAUCCAGUCGCCACUCUUCGGCCAAACGUAAACUGCACAAUGCAUUUCAAGUGUCACUAUGCAUCUGUCACAUGUGAGAAAAGCCAACUGUACAAAGUGCAGACCUGAUUCUCUCAACAUUAUCUGGAAUUUAUGUGUAAAACUUGCUAUAGUCUCAUCAACCAAAGUUGCGCGUCACCAUAUAUUAGCUUCAGUGAUAAGAUUAUUUAUCACAACAAAUCUUUGCAACUGUUGCAACUGUUUUGGAGUCCAGUAAGGUUAAUACAGGGGAAAUACUGUGAGUUGCAUACAAAAGCAGGUUGUUCAAGUGCUUCUGUGAGUGUUAAAAUGGCUAAAAAAAAUCUGAAUUCCACAAUGACAAGAGAAGUGAAAAGAUGAUUCUCAAGCUUACUCCUGAACAUUCCCCUUCUCUUUCUUUCUAGCUGAAAAAAGCUUGAAAAGUGUGAGCAAACUGGUGAAAUCAAGCUGAGCAGAAAGGGGUAAACAGGACAUAUGUGUGCAUGUGUCUGUAUAAUCCCAUCACAAGAUAGUGUCGUCGAGAGCCAUUGCCCCGAGGCUGCUGGCCAUAGUCCAUCAAGGGAACUUUAAAUUAGAGUAAUGCUCACUAACACAAGGUUAGACAGUUCAUCUGCUGGAGAGAUAUGAAAAGGGGGGAUUGUCUGGUGCUGUGCUGAUGGCCCAGAGAAAAUAGAGUGAAGAAGUUUUGAAUCCCAGGCCUAUACGUGGACAUGGCUAAGUGUAGAUUGAAUUGAAGAACUGGAGGAUGAAUUGAGGCAGACAGGGUUGCAGAGACUGAGUCCUUUGAUAAUUGAUAAUGGCCUUGACAAAUGUAAGACAAUGUAAUAUUAAAAAAAGUGAAGUAAAAUAAAGUUUGUCAAAUGAUUUGUUUCUGGUUGUGUAAAAUGCUGAAUAAAGUUUGUUUAACACUAAAAUUAACUGUCUCUUUGUCCAUGUGCACAGAAUAUUUACUGUAUAACGUUUAAUUUAAAUGAUCAACAGUGUUAAUGUAUUAAAUGUCCCGACACGGCUGGGCACAGUUGCUUUCGGCAGACAAUACCCAAACAGGAGUAAACAGUGUAUUUUUUACGGACUACUUUAACCUGUGGAAUAAUACAAAUUUGGUGCUCUGACAUUGUACAUGUGGGACCAAUUAAAAAUAAACUACAGUGAACUGCACUGAACAUCGUCAACCUUACAAGUAUAAAAAUGCAAAAGGCACAUCUGAGGGAACACGUGCAUUUUUACGUGCAGGAUAACUUCAAAUAAAGUUCAGAUAAGUACAAGUAUGAUUCAUUUGACUGCUUCAAGUUCUCCAUAAAAAAAAAAUGGUUACAAAAUAUUGUCGUUUCCGUUUACGAUGAGCAAUCUGCCACGAUUGAAAGUGCUGAAGAACUCAUGAAUGGUUUACAGCAUAAAACACAUGAGCUUAUUUAAAGCAGGAAGCUUAUCCAAGAAAGUGUGCUAUCAGGCUUCAACUGCUAUGUAAAACUGGGUAGUUAGGCCUCCGUUGUCUAUGCAAAGUGACAGCUAAAAAAACAGUCCCCUGAGCUCCGUGGGGAGAAGAGACGUGUAAAUGAUCUAAGUAAUCUUGUUUAGAUCAGCUUUUCUGAAGAUAUAACUGACAAGCGCACACAAACAGGAAAAAUGAGUCAGACAUUCCUUGCAUAUGAAAUGCACUCCUCUCACAAAUGUUAUGAUAAGCUAUGGUAAAUGCUGCUCUUUGCUGCACUUUCACUUUACAAAAAAAAGUUCUCCUUUUUAUUCUGAGAAAGAGGAAUGACACAAAUACUGCAGCUGGAGAUGUUCUAAAAUAUACCCUCUUUAACUGCAGCACUAUACAGUACCUUAUCUGGUAUGUGUUGAUAUCACUAUUAGUCAUGUCUAAAGAAUCUGUGAGUGUUUGUGAGAGUUUUGUUUCCCUAGGCAAAGUUUGGCAAACCACAAAAUUCCUUCAAAUCUCCCCCAACUCCACCAAAUUAUUAACAGCUCCAAACACAGCAUAUUUAAAAAUGCUUUGACAUACGAGUUCGAAUAAAAGAAUGGGCUCGGAAAUACAAGCAGAGCGUUGGCAGGAUGAAUUAUCAUUCUGAUUUUGCAGAAUUUUAAUAAAUUCUCUUUAUUUUUUUAUUGCAGCUAAUAUUUUUGAGCAAUAAUUCACUCUCAUUUGUUUAAUCUUCUCAUGAGCCCUUAAGCCCAAACUGAGCUUUGGGAAAGCACCUAUCUGAUGAGUUCACAGGCAAAAGUGAGGAGGGAAAAAAAGCCCUUUUUACCUGCCAGUGAUCCAGCACAUCAUAUUUAAAACAAAGCAAAACAAAACAAAAACUUAAGCAGUUUAAGUGUGGGAGGCCAGUGAUGUGCCCCACCCAAGUAACUACCCUUUCACAGAGUCAAUGAGCCCAACCCUGGAGCUGUAUCUCCAGACUUACCAAUAAUUCCUAACUGCCUGACCCAGAAGCUGCAUCAGGAGGCCCCGUCGCACAGCCUGUGAUCCACACCCCGGAGCUGCACUGGAGGAACUGCUCACACAGCCCAGUGGGACCAGUCUUGGAUGUGCAAACAUGCAGGCACGCCUUAUCUGUGCUGUUUUCUGACAGAUACUGAACAGAUACAAAGACAGCUGCAGAAAAAAAGAAAAACAGCAAAAGCACACCUACAAACUUUUCAUAUUACUCUUCAUUUCCUAUAUUAAAAAAAAAAAAAAAUCAAGGUUACCAGUUAGUAAACACAGUUACAGGGCUAAAAUGUCUGCAGCAACUUGUGUGUUUAUCAUCGGUAAAUACACACAGCUGUUAGAGUCCAGCGUAGCCAGUGAACAAUGCUGGCAGCUACACACCUCCAGCACAAGGGACACAUUAAGAGAAAUAGUAGGAGGAACUGGCCCACACUUUGUGUGUGUGAGGGAGUGUUUAAUGUAUAAUGUCCUCACCCUGAGAGUAGGUUGAAAAUCUUAUUGCAGGCGAAUGGAUUGCAAAAUGUUAGUGUGAAGUGGAACAGGAUCUAUUUAAAGCCAUGUCAUUGUGAUGCUUAAAGACCUGUCCACAACCCGGAAAGGAGGUUCUCUUCCAAGAUUUUAUGGUCCAUUGGCUCAAAGUGUUGAAGUUGUCCUGUACAAUCUUAAAUGGAUCUCCAGAUUGAGGGUCUACGGUUUUGUCCCUGACGUCCUUUGACCACUCUUUGGUCUUGCCCGUGGUGGUGGAGAGGUUGGAAUGGAAGAAACUGAAUCUGAUCCAGAGUCUUUGUUGAUGCAUCAGACAGAUGAACUGACUGCAGUGAAGAGAGAGUAAAAUACCUGCAGAAGGAGCGUCGGAUCUUUUUUUGUUUGUUAUUUUUAUUCUUGUAUUUAAAAGAUCUCAGUCUAGCUCUCAGGGAAGUAAAAGGGAGUCUGAGCUGUAACAGGAGUGUGUGUGUGUGAGAUCACAUCAUGUGUGAGUUUGAGCACACUGUGUGUGUGUGUGCAUGUGUGUGAGAUUAGAGAAGGGCAAAGAGUUGAGGUGGUGUUUGAUGCUAGUCUCAGUGGCAGGCUUCAAAAAAACUAAAACAAAAACCUGUCACUCAGCUUCUCUCCACGCAAUGCAUACGCACACAAACACACAUGUGACCACCCGCAUACACUGCACUCACACAAUCUGGCUCUCCAGCACAGCCAUAGACUUCUAGCAGCAACACCUCUGACCAUGUAAAACCUCUCUCCCUGUGCAGGCACACACAUGCAUUAAUACUUGCACACACAUGCAACCUUAUAGGCACACAUAUAGAACAGUUCUAAGCAUACAAAUAACAAAUAAACCGAGUCAAUUCAGUGUACAAUCGGUGUAUCAUAAAGGAUCAAUUCCUGCAGAACACGCACAUGUACUGGAGUACACAUGCACAGACAUACAGACUUACUGUAUGGAUGCUGUACUCUUGUGUGUAAUCCUAAAAUAAAUAGGGUGCUAAGUAAACGCCUAACUCAGCAACUUAUUCUCUUUGUCACGUACACACAUUUAACCAGCACCCAAGCUGGGAGAUCUUGCUCUUUCCUUUACAGUAGGUCAUUUCUUUCAACAGAUUUAUCACCGGUGUUGCACAACCCAUUCGAUUAUCUGUGUCUGUGUGCCCUUCGUGAGAGAGUGACCAACUGAGCUUCUGUGAUAGUGUCUCUGCGGGUGUUUGUGUGUAUCAGAGGGCCGUAGGCUCAAGCUAUUAAGAUCAGUAUAGUGGUGAGAUAUGUGAUCUGAGGGAUGCUACUUCAGAGAAGUGAACAAAGCAGAUGCUGUUCCAGAGAAGAAACUGCACAAGGCCAACAUACGAACCCUGGGGGACCCCUCUACAGUGCUAGCUUUGGAGCAACUAUUGUAUUUGGCCAAAUGUAUUAGCGCCAACAGUUUAAUCUAACACAGUAUAAAGGACUGCCAAGAAAAUCUGAUGUGUUAUUAUUGUCACGUUUAACCAUCUGUCUUGGGGUUUUGGUCCAAAUUUCUUAUUCACAAAGUUGAAUAAUAUCAGGCCCUCCCAACAGGGAUGUUUGUGACAACGCAUUGAUAUUCCUGACAGGAACUGUCGGGGGACUUUGGAUGUGUUGUGUGAGAUCUCUUCCACACAGAGGUGAGUGACAAAUAAGGAAAGAAAUAUUAACUAUAAAGAAAAACAGAUUUAAAGAUAAAGAAAGACAAAGACAGCCAAAACAGACAUAAUCUACAAAUUACUUUCAUGAAAGGCAAAUGUGUGCUGAAUUUUUAAAUGGAGAAUAACAGUGGAGAAAUUUAAGAAGGAAGGAGGAAAAUAAUAGAGGUCAAAUACUAGAUGAUAAUAAUAAUAAUAACAGAGUGACAAAUACUUCUGCAAAAAGUAAAUAAAAAUAAAAUAAAACAAGAAAAAAGCUACGCACAGCUAAGUGUUCAAUAUAUAUACCUUCACACUAGUUUCAGCACACUGUCAUUGAGCUCCAUUGGCACGGAAAGACAAAUCUGGAAGGCCGACUGGACCGAAAUCCCAAAGCUGCCAUUUUAAGGAUGCAGAACUGCAGAUUAGCCAUGGCAUGUAAAACUUCAGUGAAAAAGCAAAGUGGUCAGACAAGAAACAACAAGAAUAAAAAGUCAUC